GAUGAACGCUGGCGGCGUGCCUAAUACAUGCAAGUCGAGCGAACAGACGAGGAGCUUACUCCUCUGACGUUAGCGGCGGACGGGUGAGUAACACGUGGAUAACCUACCUAUAAGACUGGGAUAACUUCGGGAAACCGGAGCUAAUACCGGAUAACAUGUUGAACCGCAUGGUUCAACAGUGAAAGACGGUCUUGCUGUCACUUAUAGAUGGAUCCGCGUCGCAUUAGCUAGUUGGUAAGGUAACGGCUUACCAAGGCAACGAUGCGUAGCCGACCUGAGAGGGUGAUCGGCCACAUUGGAACUGAGACACGGUCCAGACUCCUACGGGAGGCAGCAGUAGGGAAUCUUCCGCAAUGGGCGAAAGCCUGACGGAGCAACGCCGCGUGAGUGAAGAAGGUCUUCGGAUCGUAAAACUCUGUUAUUAGGGAAGAACAAAUGUGUAAGUAACUAUGCACGUCUUGACGGUACCUAAUCAGAAAGCCACGGCUAACUACGUG
Molecule: ribosomal RNA, 497 nt
Filed under: uncultured bacterium
Lineage: Bacteria
Description: partial 16S ribosomal RNA
Rfam family: Bacterial small subunit ribosomal RNA
Source: RNAcentral